Molecule: microRNA, 24 nt
Filed under: Brachypodium distachyon (stiff brome)
Lineage: Eukaryota; Viridiplantae; Streptophyta; Magnoliopsida; Poales; Poaceae
Description: bdi-miR7781-3p
Source: miRBase by way of RNAcentral
CAUGUCUGUAGUCAGAAAAAUCAA